RNAcentral lists this ribosomal RNA (492 nucleotides) under uncultured bacterium. Its description in RNAcentral is "partial 16S ribosomal RNA". It matches the Rfam family "Bacterial small subunit ribosomal RNA", at positions 30 to 507 of the family's 1533-position model. The record is from RNAcentral.
AGUGAACGCUGGCGGUAGGCCUAACACAUGCAAGUCGAACGGCAGCACAGUAAGAGCUUGCGCUGACGGGGGGCGAGGGGCGGACGGGGGAGGAAGACAGCGGAAGCGACUGGGGCGUGGGGGAGAACGGAGGGAAACUGACGCGAAUACCGCAUACGACCGACGGGUGAAAGCAGGGGAUCUUCGGACCUGGCGCGAGUGAAUGAGCCGAUGUCGGAUUAGCUAGUUGGCGGGGUAAAGGCCCACCAAGGCGACGAUCCGUAGCUGGUCUGAGAGGAUGAUCCGCCACCCUUGCCCUGAGACACGGUCCAGCCUCCUCCGGGAGGCAGCCGUGGGGAAUAUUGGACACUGGUCGCAAGCCUGAUCCAGCCCUACCGCGUGGGUGAAGAAGGCCUUCGGGUUGUCAAGCCCUUUUGUUGGGCAAGAAAAGCAGCAGGUUAAUCCCCCGCUGUUCUGCCGGUACCCAAAGAAUAAGCACCGGCUAACUUCGUG